RNAcentral lists this small RNA (851 nucleotides) under Pongo abelii (Sumatran orangutan). RNAcentral describes it as "retained intron". Lineage: Eukaryota; Metazoa; Chordata; Mammalia; Primates; Hominidae. The record is from RNAcentral.
UGGGCGGCGGCGGCCGUCAUGGAGCGCCAAGAGGAUUCCCUGUCCGCGCGGCCGGCCCUGGAGACCGAGGGGCUGCGCUUCCUGCACAUCACGGUGGGCUCCCUGCUGGCCACCUAUGGCUGGUACAUCGUCUUCAGCUGCAUCCUUCUCUACGUGGUCUUUCAGAAGCUUUUCGCCCGGCUAAGAGCCUUGAGGCAGAGGCAGCUGGACCGAGCUGCGGCUGCUGUGGAACCUGAUGUUGUUGUUAAACGACAAGAAGCUUUAGCAGCUGCUCGAUUGAAAAUGCAAGAAGAACUAAAUGCGCAAGUUGAAAAGCAUAAGGAAAAACUGAAACAGCUUGAAGAAGAAAAAAGGAGACAGAAGAUUGAAAUGUGGGACAGCAUGCAAGAAGGAAAAAGUUACAAAGGAAAUGCAAAGAAGCCCCAGGUGACUGGAGACCUCGGCCAGCUGGCAUGCAGUAGAUGAAGAUUGCCAAGUAGAAUGUUUUAAUUGCUUCUUACACUACUGUGUGUGUUCAAACAGGAGGAAGACAGUCCUGGCCCUUCCACUUCAUCUGUCGUCCUGAAAUGGAAAUCGGACAGAAAGCCUUUGCGGGGAGGUGGUAAGCACCACUGAUGUCAAAUGUUAACGUUUUCAACACUUACAGGAUAUAGUUACCUUUUAGGAACAAGAUUGUUUGUUUCUUUGCCCAUAAAUUAAGACUAAUUCCUUAGGAUUGUGAAGAUUCAAUAAAGGAAGCAGAUGCAAAUCACCUCGUAGGUCCUCACUACGUACUUAGAAGGACUGUACUUACAGUAUUCUGACUUGAUUCUUCUGCAGCCCCGUAGAGGGAGAGCUGAGGAGGGUGAGGA